GGCCCUGUAAGUGUGUGUGUGUGUGUGUGUGUGUGUGUGUGUUGUGUGUGUGUGUUUGCGUGUGUGUAAUUGCGGUGGACUGGAUUCUUGUUGAACAAAUAUUCACUCAAUAUUCACUCUCUCUUCCUCCUUAGGAUGGCAUAUACUUAUAUUUACCUGCCUCACUCAUUUUGGGCAUGGCCAUGUAACCGGGUGCACAGAAGCGGGAGUGUACUGAGGCUUUGAAUGUUUGUUUAGCCUCUGGAGCUCCUGCCUACUUCAUGAUGUAAGUACGUCCAGGGUAGCCAUAGUUCCAGGAUGAAGAGACAUGGGGAAAGCAGACCUGACCCAAGCCCAAAUGAGUCCAGCCAACUCACAGACCCAUUACUGAAAAGAAAUAAAUGCCUGUUGUAAGCCACUGAGAUUUUGGGAUUAUUUGUUACACAGCCUUAUCAUGGAAAAGCUGACUAACAAGUGUUCAUGGUAGUCUUUACAGGGAACUAGUCCAAUACUCAGGCCUUUUCACAGAGGGCUUCAGGAUGGAGGCACCUGCUCUGUUGCAUGUCAUUAAGGAAUCAGGUUUUAGUAAAUAGUUCCUCCCCCUUUUAGACUCCGUUCCCUGACCUCUUCCUCAAGUGCAUAUCUCCCCCCCUCUUUAGGACAAUUAACCACAUUCACAAAAUUCCACCUCCUCCUCCUCUACAGGCCACUUCUGCAGGCUCUCAGAACUGUCUGUCUUUGACAAGGGCUAUCCUUGUUGUGGGAGGCCCUCAGCUUUCCGAGGAGGUUGGAAAGAAUGGAGCUCAGAGAAAUGGAGGGGCCCCCGCAAGCUGCAGCAGCAGGAGGCAAAGGAACCAGCAGCAGGGCCCUCUGGAAAGAUCGGAGGAGGCAUGUAGCUGAGUGCUCACACAACGUGAGGAUGUCGCAGCUCCAAACCAGGGUGUUCUCUGUGAUGUCAGCCUGCCCAGCAGUGGCUGCUGCUUUGGACCAGCCCCCAGGAAGCCUGGCUGGAGCUGAAAGUCGGUCCCAUUUGCAGUGGUGACCACUUGACCUAAAGAGAUCGGUGGUUGUGGAAGAUCACUCUGGAGGCAACGGAGAAGAAGGCAACAAGAUACAUUUGCCAUUAGUUUUUGGAGGUAGAACCUCAAAGAUUUUCGCCAGAGACUCACUGGC
This 1152-nucleotide long non-coding RNA is filed under the name Felis catus (domestic cat). RNAcentral describes it as "lncRNA (ENSFCAG00000045121.2)". Lineage: Eukaryota; Metazoa; Chordata; Mammalia; Carnivora; Felidae. The record is from RNAcentral.